This 84-nucleotide transfer RNA is filed under the name Salinibacterium xinjiangense. Its description in RNAcentral is "tRNA-Leu". It matches the Rfam family "tRNA". Rfam says of the family: Transfer RNA (tRNA) molecules are approximately 80 nucleotides in length. Their secondary structure includes four short double-helical elements and three loops (D, anti-codon, and T loops). Lineage: Bacteria; Bacillati; Actinomycetota; Actinomycetes; Micrococcales; Microbacteriaceae. The record is from RNAcentral.
GCCGGAUUGGCGGAAUGGCAGACGCGGAGCACUCAAAAUGCUUUGUUCGUAAGGACGUGCGGGUUCAAGUCCCGCAUCCGGCAC